GACGAACGCUGGCGGCGUGCCUAAUACAUGCAAGUAGAACGCUGAAGAGAGGAGCUUGCUCUUCUUGGAUGAGUUGCGAACGGGUGAGUAACGCGUAGGUAACCUGCCUUGUAGCGGGGGAUAACUAUUGGAAACGAUAGCUAAUACCGCAUAACAAUGGAUGACACAUGUCAUUUAUUUGAAAGGGGCAAUUGCUCCACUACAAGAUGGACCUGCGUUGUAUUAGCUAGUAGGUGAGGUAAUGGCUCACCUAGGCGACGUUACAUAGCCGACCUGAGAGGGUGAUCGGCCACACUGGGACUGAGACACGGCCCAGACUCCUACGGGAGGCAGCAGUAGGGAAUCUUCGGCAAUGGGGGCAACCCUGACCGAGCAACGCCGCGUGAGUGAAGAAGGUUUUCGGAUCGUAAAGCUCUGUUGUAAGUCAAGAACGGGUGUGAGAGUGGAAAGUUCACACUGUGACGGUAGCUUACCAGAAAGGGACGGCUAACUACGUG
RNAcentral lists this ribosomal RNA (497 nucleotides) under uncultured bacterium. Its description in RNAcentral is "partial 16S ribosomal RNA". It matches the Rfam family "Bacterial small subunit ribosomal RNA", at positions 28 to 507 of the family's 1533-position model. The record is from RNAcentral.